Molecule: ribosomal RNA, 403 nt
Filed under: uncultured bacterium
Lineage: Bacteria
Description: bacterial SSU rRNA
Rfam family: Bacterial small subunit ribosomal RNA
Source: RNAcentral
UAGGGAAUCUUGCGCAAUGGGCGAAAGCCUGACGCAGCCAUGCCGCGUGAAUGAUGAAGGUCUUAGGAUUGUAAAAUUCUUUCACCGGGGAAGAUAAUGACGGUACCCGGAGAAGAAGCCCCGGCUAACUUCGUGCCAGCAGCCGCGGUAAUACGAAGGGGGCUAGCGUUGCUCGGAAUUACUGGGCGUAAAGGGUGUGUAGGCGGAUACUUAAGUCGGGGGUGAAAGCCCAGGGCUCAACCCUGGAAUAGCCUUCGAUACUGGGUAUCUUGAGUUCGGGAGAGGUAAGUGGAACUCCGAGUGUAGAGGUGAAAUUCGUAGAUAUUCGGAAGAACACCAGUGGCGAAGGCGACUUACUGGCCCGAUACUGACGCUGAAACACGAAAGCGUGGGGAGCAAACAG